AAAAAGGCCUUUUUCAAGGCCAUUAGGGGCUUUUUACUGAAUUUUU
This is a non-coding RNA of Cytophagales bacterium, 46 nucleotides long. Lineage: Bacteria; Pseudomonadati; Bacteroidota; Cytophagia; Cytophagales. The record is from Rfam.